RNAcentral lists this long non-coding RNA (610 nucleotides) under Nicotiana tabacum (common tobacco). RNAcentral describes it as "long non-coding RNA (NTAB_LNC018504)". Lineage: Eukaryota; Viridiplantae; Streptophyta; Magnoliopsida; Solanales; Solanaceae. The record is from RNAcentral.
UCAGCUUCAAUUGCGUACAUUGUUGGAUAAGAAACCUUGUACCUGUUUAAGUAUUUCCAUUAUUAAUCAGUAUAUUUAGCUCCCAAACACAAAAUCACAAAGGGGUUUGGGGUAAUUUUUAACAAAAAGGUAAAAAACGAAUCUUUAGCUUCAAAUGACAAAAUCACAAAAGGGGUCGGGAAAAAUAAAAAAAUACGCAGAAUAAUGACAAAAUUGAGUGAAAGUUUAGUACUUUUUGCGAGCUUUGCCGACUUGAAAUGACAUCCAGAAGUUGAGGAAACAGUAGAAAACAAGAACAAGAAUUACGUAUCCAUAUUCUUUGGGGAGCAAUUCAACUCCAGCCAUAGCUUUUUCCUAUUUGAGUUUUGAGAGAGAAUUUGAGAAGUUAUGGCGAUUGAUACUUUGCUUUGUGUUGAGGUGAGGUUCUCGGGCUUUGGUUUAUAUUGACUUCUUCCAGAUCUCUCUGGAUCAGAAAAGUUUUAUAUUGUUGGCUUGUUUGCCAAGCCUGCUCCAAUGGAUUUUGACUUUGUCUAUUUGUGUUCCCACAUUUAUUUAUUGCAGUAAUAUAAUAUGAGCCUGCACCUUCCUCAAUCCUAAAGACCUUUCCACG